This 253-nucleotide ribosomal RNA is filed under the name uncultured bacterium. RNAcentral's name for it is "partial 16S ribosomal RNA". It matches the Rfam family "Bacterial small subunit ribosomal RNA", at positions 524 to 776 of the family's 1533-position model. The record is from RNAcentral.
UACGGAGGGGGCUAGCGUUGUUCGGAAUUACUGGGCGUAAAGCGUACGUAGGCGGCUUUGUAAGUUAGAGGUGAAAGCCCGGGGCUCAACUCCGGAAUUGCCUUUAAGACUGCAUCGCUUGAAUCAUGGAGAGGUGAGUGGAAUUCCGAGUGUAGAGGUGAAAUUCGUAGAUAUUGGGAGGAACACCAGUGGCGAAGGCGGGUCUCUGGGCCGAAAUUGACGCUGAGGAGCGAAAGCGUGGGGAGCAAACAGG